AGUGAACGCUGGCGGUAGGCCUAACACAUGCAAGUCGAACGGCAGCACAGUAAGAGCUUGCUCUUACGGGUGGCGAGUGGCGGACGGGUGAGGAAUACAUCGGAAUCUACUUUUUCGUGGGGGAUAACGUAGGGAAACUUACGCUAAUACCGCAUACGACCUCCGGGUGAAAGCAGGGGAUCUUCGGACCUUGCGCGAUUGAAUGAGCCGAUGUCGGAUUAGCUAGUUGGCGGGGUAAAGGCCCACCAAGGCGACGAUCCGUAGCUGGUCUGAGGGGAUGAUUAGCCAGACUGGAACUGAGACACGGUACAGACUCCGACGGUAGGCAGCAGUGGGGAAUAUUGGACGAUGGGGGCGAGCCUGAUCCAGCCAUACCGGGUGGGGGAAGAAGGCCUUCGGGUUGGAAAGCCCUUUUGUUGGGAAAGAAAAGAAGCAGGUUAAUACCCCGCUGUUCUGACGGUACCCAAAGAAUAAGCACCGGCUAACUUCGUG
RNAcentral lists this ribosomal RNA (492 nucleotides) under uncultured bacterium. Its description in RNAcentral is "partial 16S ribosomal RNA". It matches the Rfam family "Bacterial small subunit ribosomal RNA", at positions 29 to 507 of the family's 1533-position model. The record is from RNAcentral.